Phragmites australis (common reed) is the source of this 1933-nucleotide RNA transcript. It is a transcript of the gene named small ribosomal subunit protein mS78 (rPPR3a)-like, with no coding region annotated. The transcript has 2 exons. The record is from RefSeq and is a predicted model, not a curated record. Lineage: Eukaryota; Viridiplantae; Streptophyta; Magnoliopsida; Poales; Poaceae.
AACCCUGCGCCUCCCACCUGUCGCCGCAAACCCCACCCGCCGUCGCGUUGCGCCCAUGGCCACCCCCGCUGCGGCCGCUGCCUCCUCCCGCGCGCGCCGCCUGUCGUGCAUCUUCUACUCGUCAUCGUCAAGGGCCCAACCAACCACGCCCAAGCCUGCGCUGACCCCCAAAGCACCCGCCGGCGAGGAGGCGAAACCCAACUCGGACCGCAAGCGCCGGAAGCCCCUCAGCAAAAUCCUGAAGAACCUCUUCCGGGAGCGCGAUCCGGACAAGCUGGUGUCGGAGUUCGUCGCCGCGUCGACCGCGUCCGCGCGCUUCCGCGACCGGCACCGCGUGUACGAGGUGGUCGUGUCCCGCCUCGCCUCCUUUGGCCGCCGCGAUGCCGUCACGGCCAUCAUCGACGCGCAGAAGCCCUUCCUCGAGGCCUCCACCGAGGGCUUCGCUGCGCGCCUCGUCCGCCUCUACGGCCGCGCCUCUAUGCCAUCCCACGCCGCCGCAACCUUCCGUGACCUACCCCCGCAGCACAAGUCCAUCAUGACCUUCAAUGCACUCCUCGCCGCCUACGUCGACGCCCGCGAGUUCGACGCGCUGGCCACUGCGUUCCAGGAGAUCCCAGCCUCCCACCCCACCGUUGUGCCCAGUGUGUACUCUUACAACAUACUCAUCAGCGCGCUAUGCCAGAAGCCUGACCUUUCGGCGGCCAUUGAUGUCAUUGCCCUCAUGGAGAAGUGCGGCCUUACCCCCGAUAAGGUGUCUUUCAACACGCUGUUGAACGGGUUUAUCAACAAUGGGCGCUUUAAUGAUGCCGAGAAAGUCUGGGACAUGAUGAAGGAGUGGGAUUUGGAGCCGGACGCGAAGAGCUACAAUGCAAAGUUGCGGGGUUUGGUUGCCGAAGGGAGGAUCGAGGAUGCAGCUGCUGUGAUUGAGAGGAUGGAGAAGGAUGGGCCAAAACCUGAUUCAGUGUCCUACAAUGAGCUGAUUCGAGGGUAUUGCAAAGAAGGGAGGUUGGAUGAGGCCAAGAAGGUAUAUGAUGAUUUGGUAAAGAAUGAAUGUGCGCCGAAUAAGGGGACAUUUCAUACCCUCGUGCCACUUCUUGUGGAGGCUGGGGAGCUUGAUCGUGCUAUAAAUUGUUGCCAUGAGACCUUUAGUAGGAAGUGCAGAGUGGAUUGUUCAGUGCUGCAGGGGGUAGUGACUGCAUUAGUUGUUGCAUCAAGGGUGGAGGAGGCUACCAGGAUCAUUGAGCUUGGGCGGAAGAACUAUUAUCCCCGGAAGGGUUUGAUGAUGCCACAUAUUGGAGAAGACAAUAAUGUAGAAGUUGAAACUGAUUGGAAAGAUUCUAUGUUAUAUGAAGAGGGGUCUGAAGAGGAAAAGGAGUCUGGAAAUGCUUGAUGAGGAUGUACCUCUGUAAGUUAGGCACUGAUCUGCCAUGCCGGUGCAAAUGGAAUUUGAUCAAAUAUGCUAUCCUGCUCUACUGUUUUGUUUGCCUGAUUAAACAGAAGUUGUUGCCUUUCAAGAAUAUGCUAGAAGGGUUCUUAUUUUGAUUCAGACUACAGGGGCCGAGGGGGCUCAAGCCCCAAGCCCCCCCCCCCCCCCCCUCUCAAUUUUUGGGCACGCAAGAGGAAGAAGAGAAAGAGGAGGAGAAGGGAGAAGAAGAGGGAGAGCCCCCUACUUCGUAGCUCUGGAUCUGCCACUAACUACAUGUAAUUAUUUAGUAUUUAGCACUAGCAGACUGAUUGCAAUGUGCUAUGGCUGGCUAAGUUUUGAGAUGGCUGUCACUCUUCAAGAUUGUUUUUAAAAGAUGAGUUAAUGAAAUUAAGAACAAAGGCAAAUGAGCUAUUUGAUAUGAUGAAAACAGAUUAAAUCGGUAGGUCUCAAGCUCUCCAAUAACCAAGUGUGCUUUUCUUUUUCAUUUUUAUUCUAUAUUUCUUGUAU